GGACAAAAUAGUGAGCAUUUGUUUCAACUGACCCCAACAGCUGAAAGCAGAAUAAAUGGACAUUGAAUAGACCCUACACUUGACGGAUCAGCUGGCACCACCCAGACGGAUAAACUGGCUCAUCCUGUCUUGUGGCCCCCACCCAGGAACUGACUCAGCGCAGGAGGACAGUUUCAACUCGCUGUGAUUUCAUCUCUGACCUGACCAAUCAGCAGCUCCCCACUCUCCAACCCCCUACCCACCAAAUUAUCCUUAAAAACCCUGAUUCCCGAGUUUUCAGGGAGACUGAUUUGAGUACUAAUAAAAUUCCAGUCUCCCAUACAGCCGGCUCUGCGUGAAUUAAACUCUUUCUUUAUUGCAAUUCCCCUGUCUUGAUAAAUUGGCUCUGUCUCAGCAGCGGGCAAGGUGAACCUGUUGGGCAGUUACCUUAUUUGUUAAAUGCCAUACGAAGUUCCUUGCAGUAUGUGCAUAUUCGGCCUCCUGGCUCUGAUAAAAGGAGACAUAUACAUGGGUUAUUCUAAAAGAUACUAAUUCCACACAUCACCAGAAGAAAAUUAUUUUGAUGGCGAAACUUUUCUACUUACCUAUAACCUUCUAAGGAGGAUGUGCCUUAAUGAGAAACCUUGUUUUGCUGAGUGAGGUAAAGGGAAGGAGGAUAUAAUUUUGGAGCAAGGAGAGAACUAAAUUGUUUUGCAUUAGAAAAGAGAUAUGGGGGAGGAGAAAGGCUAGAGGGGUUUUCAACCUUAAUUUCCCAUUAGAAUCUCCUGGGGAGUUUUUAAAACUAGGAAACCUGAGUUUCACUUUCAGCAAUUCAGAUUCUAUUAGUCUGGAUGGGCCCCACCUGGGUAUUUUUGAGAACCAGUGGUAAGCAGAGAGGAGGACUUGGUGGUUGGUGUUUUCUAGUGAAACUGCUGUGCCAUAUAACAUCUGUCUUUCUAGAAUAUGCCUCAGAAAUCUAGACUAAUCAUUAACACUUUGGAAAUUUGAUUUCUUUCUUUCUUUUUUUUUUUUUUUUUAAAUGGAGUGAAGUAUCAUGUUUGGCCUCAAAGUGGCUGUGGAGGGCAGAGUGUGCUCAUGGUCUUGGUGGUACUGGGGCAAAACAUAUUUUACAGCUGCAAAGAAGCAAAGGGCAGAGAAGUUUCAGAAGCUCACAAGUGAAUGUAUUAGCAGUCUUGUAUGUUUUAUUGCUUCUAUCAAAUAAAAAAAUCUUUUGAGGUACAGAAGGUUUUUUCUUGGUGGCAUACAAGUAUAGCACUCACAUUCUAAACAAGGCAUUCUAAAUAAAAUGAAAUAAAAUAAAACACAGCAAAGCCAACAUCAACAGAAGAUUACCCUUUCUCUUUGACUCAUACUUUGUCUUAGACAUUAUAUGAUUCAAGGGAUGAAUGCGUGGUUUGUAAAUUUCCCAGACCUUUGUUUCUCUGGACUUGAGAUAUGUCACUGCCCUUCUGCAGAAAGUGGAGAUGUAGUGACAAGCAAUGGAAGAAAAAAGGAUUCCUAGACUAGUAUAAGACAGCCCUCCUCUACUCCCAUUGGUCUUAUAGGUGAGGGAUCCUUCAGCUUUUUUUUGUGUGUGUGUAUGUGUGUGACGGAGUUUCUCUCUCGUUGCCCAGGCUGGAGUGCAAUGGCGUGAUCUCUGCCCACCGCGACCUCUGUCUGCUGGGUUCAAGUGAUUCUCCUGCCUCAGCCUCCCGAGUAGCUGGGACCGCAGCCUGGCUAAUUUUUUGUAUUUUUAUUAGAGACAGGGUUUCACCAUGUUGGUCAGGUUGGUCUCGAACUCCUGACCUCAGGUGAUCCACCCGCCUUAGCCUCCCAAAGUGCUAGGAUUACAGACGUGAGCCACCGUGCCCCACUGAUCCUUCAGCUUUUUUUUUUUAAUUAAUUUUUUUUUUGAGAUGGAGUUUCUCUCUUGUUGUCCAGGCCGGAGUGCAAUGGCGCAAUCUAGGCUCACUGCAAUCUCCACCUCCUGGGUUCAAGCAAUUCUCCUGCCUCAGCCUCCCAAGUGGUUGGGAUUACAGGCAUGCACCACCACGCCUGGCUAAUUUUUUGUAUUUAGUAGAGAUGAGCUUUCACCAGGUUGGUCAGGCUGGUCUGGAACUCCUGACCUCGU
This 2110-nucleotide long non-coding RNA is filed under the name Homo sapiens (human). Its description in RNAcentral is "HSALNT0218439". Lineage: Eukaryota; Metazoa; Chordata; Mammalia; Primates; Hominidae. The record is from RNAcentral.